CAGUCUUUACUAGGGUCAUCUGCAGGGACUAGAAAUUAUUUUCCCAGAUUCAGAAUACACUCAAAAGCCAAAACCUACACAAAAAUGUCAUAUUUUCAAUUAUAUAACAAAUAAAAAUUUACUAAAAUAUAUGAUUUACCUCUAAAGAAAUUAUGAAACCAUGAAAGAAAUGUCUCAUGCAAUUCUGCCUUCAGAUGGUUCAUCAUGUGAUUAAUCCCCUUUAUUGCAUCCUGAAAUGUUAGACGAGUCCAAGGAAAUGUUCUGCAAGCUUCCAAAUUAUCCACAAUCCUUAAUAUGAAAAGGUCCAAGAGUCCAUUAUUCUUUGGCUUUCCUCUAAUAACCCGACCAAGGAAUAACAAGACAACCAUCUUCAAUCUAUCCACACAUGGCUUCAUAGACAACAUCUUCAGCUCCACAUCUUUUAUAGUGAUAUUCUCUUUUACAUUGAAGAAAUAAUCAACAAACUUAUAACUCAUUAGCUUCAACUAUCUCUUCGGAUACUCUUGGCAAUCUAAGCCAAAAAUGAGAGCAUGCACCCUCAUAUAAAAGUGGAUUUUCACACCAUUAACCACAAACCAUUCAACAUUGUCUUCUAUAGUACAAAUGGUGCACAUGAGUAACAUCCACAUCCCUUUGAGCUCCAGGUUUGGUUUGUCUGGCAUGUGGCUGAAAUUCCGAAACUGAAGAUGGCUUGUGAGCCAGUUAACCUCGGAUUUAAGUUUCUUGAUGACCCCUACAGUCUUGAACACAUAGCACUUGGUUUAUAUCUUGUAAGUCUUCGUGGACUGAAUGUUGUUGAAGUAGAACUCAAGGGGUUGCAUUGGUUGUCUUUCCUGCAAUAAAAAUACAUAUAUACUCAUUAGUUGCUCUAGUGACUCUUACUGUUACUAGUAAUACCAGUAAUAUCUAUAUAUAAUAGCAAACCAAAAUUUUGUACUCUAUGAUGUCAUCUUUUUUUGUAGGAAAAAAAAUAUCAAUCAAACGGUGGAAUUUAUCUUGAGGGUAAAAUCUAAUGGUUACAAUUUUGUUUAAAAUGAAACUAUGGCGUCAUCUAUUCAAUCAUCGUCUUUGAUCCACAAAGUUAUAACUCCUCGAAGGCAACGCGACACAAGGCUUACAGAAAUCGUAUAACCGUCAUCAUCUCCCUUAAGAGUCGUGUCUUUUCACAAACUUAUUAAUAGAAUUUACUGCAUUAGAUUGCGUUUUCGGUAGUUCCUUCUUCAGAUUCUCUAAUUGGCUUCUCAUCUCUCUCUGGACUUUUCUUUUCUGGUAAUUACUUCGGUGGACGUGGGAUCCAUAGACGGUUAAAUCGUUCGUCCAUACAUCUUUUUUAAAUGUAUCUUUCUACUCAGAAUCUAAGAAUGGAUUUCUACAUAAUCACCUUUGUAAACCAAUUGUUUGUUUCGGUCUUUCUCCAAUUCAAUAAGGAACAUAAAUCAAUGUCUUGAUGCCUUGUUUGAUGUCCAGGAACAUAAAUCAAUCUUCCUCCUGUACGUGUUUGAUGUCUGUUUGAUGUCUUGUUUGAUUUCUGCCACUUUUAAUUUUUCUUUUCGCGGCGUGCUCCAGGAACAUAAAUCAAUCCAGUUGACGCUAUUUGAAUGUCUCUGUAAUCCAAUCUCUUUUUGGAUGGUUAGGAAUGCGUGGGAUGAGAUGGAGUGAAUUGCGUUUUAUUUUUUGGCCAACGACCAAUCCACUUGAACACUUACACCAGCAAUUAUUGUAGGUUCUAAUACCCAGUUGUAACCAAGAGCAACAGCAAAGUGUAAUAUACCUUUCUUUCGGGGCUUCCUGCAUAAGUUUGUUUUUCAUAUUCU
Long non-coding RNA from Brassica napus (rape), 1814 nucleotides. RefSeq lists it as uncharacterized. The record is from RefSeq and is a predicted model, not a curated record. Lineage: Eukaryota; Viridiplantae; Streptophyta; Magnoliopsida; Brassicales; Brassicaceae. The transcript has 2 exons.